GCCCCGCCGUGCCGCCCUCCGUUCCUGCCAUGGACAGCGGGCGCGGGGCCCUGCAAGGGAGACCUGUAAGCUGACCUGGCUCCAGAAAGAGCCCAAGCGGGACGUGGCUGUGCGGGCCAGCGCCCCGGUUCAGUGCCCGGCGCGGAAAGAAGGAUCCGCACAGAGUGGGCCAGUGCCCUUCCCAGCCCGGCCUCCGCUUGUCCUCGACACUGCCCCGAGUCGGUGGCGCCCGGUGCCAUCUGUCAUUUUCUGGUUCUCGGCAGACACAACAUCUUUGUUGGUAUGUGGUGCUGAGGAUCGAACCCGGGUCGCACGCAUGCCAGGCGAGCGCGCUACCGCUUGAGCCACAUCCCCAGCCCUACUCUUAAUUUCUAAUAUGGUAACUAUCAAUAGAUAAAGCCCACAUGAGCAAGAGUUCUUUGGGGGUCCUCCAUAA
This is a non-coding RNA of Ictidomys tridecemlineatus (thirteen-lined ground squirrel), 436 nucleotides long. Lineage: Eukaryota; Metazoa; Chordata; Mammalia; Rodentia; Sciuridae. The record is from RefSeq and is a predicted model, not a curated record.